RNAcentral lists this ribosomal RNA (390 nucleotides) under uncultured bacterium. Its description in RNAcentral is "bacterial SSU rRNA". It matches the Rfam family "Bacterial small subunit ribosomal RNA", at positions 28 to 416 of the family's 1533-position model. The record is from RNAcentral.
GACGAACGCUGGCGGCGUGCUUAACACAUGCAAGUCGAGCGGUAAGGCCCUUUCGGGGGUACACGAGCGGCGAACGGGUGAGUAACACGUGGGUGACCUGCCCUUAGCUCUGGGAUAAGCCUGGGAAACUGGGUCUAAUACCGGGAUAUGACUCCAUGACGCAUGUUGUGGGGUGGAAAAGCCUUGUGCGGCUAGGGAUGGGCCCGCGGCCUAUCAGCUUGUUGGUGGGGUGAUGGCCUACCAAGGCGACGACGGGUAGCCGGCCUGAGAGGGCGACCGGCCACACUGGGGACUGAGACACGGCCCAGACUCCUACGGGAGGCAGCAGUGGGGAAUCUUGCGCAAUGGGCGAAAGCCUGACGCAGCGACGCCGCGUGCGGGAGGACGGCC